Molecule: ribosomal RNA, 253 nt
Filed under: uncultured bacterium
Lineage: Bacteria
Description: partial 16S ribosomal RNA
Rfam family: Bacterial small subunit ribosomal RNA
Source: RNAcentral
UACGAAGGGGGCUAGCGUUACUCGGAAUUACUGGGCGUAAAGGGCGCGUAGGCGGCAUGAUAAGUCAGGCGUGAAAUUCCCGGGCUCAACCUGGGGACUGCGCUUGAGACUGUUGAGCUAGAGGAUGGAAGAGGGUCGUGGAAUUCCCAGUGUAGAGGUGAAAGGCGUAGAUAUGGGGAAGAACACCGGUGGCGAAGGCAGCGACCUGGGCCAUUACUGACGCUGAGGCGCGACAGCGUGGGGAGCAAACAGG